This 253-nucleotide ribosomal RNA is filed under the name uncultured bacterium. Its description in RNAcentral is "partial 16S ribosomal RNA". It matches the Rfam family "Bacterial small subunit ribosomal RNA", at positions 524 to 776 of the family's 1533-position model. The record is from RNAcentral.
UACGUAGGGCGCGAGCGUUGUCCGGAUUUAUUGGGCGUAAAGAGCUCGUAGGCGGCUUGUCGCGUCGACUGUGAAAUCCCGCGGCUCAACUGCGGGUCUGCAGUCGAUACGGGCAGGCUAGAAUUCGGUAGGGGAGACUGGAAUUCCUGGUGUAGCGGUGAAAUGCGCAGAUAUCAGGAGGAACACCGAUGGCGAAGGCAGGUCUCUGGGCCGAUACUGACGCUGAGGAGCGAAAGCGUGGGGAGCGAACAGG